Molecule: ribosomal RNA, 250 nt
Filed under: Gephyromantis granulatus
Lineage: Eukaryota; Metazoa; Chordata; Amphibia; Anura; Mantellidae
Description: partial 12S ribosomal RNA
Source: RNAcentral
AUAAUCGAUGAUCCACGAUACACCUUACCACUUUUUGCCACUCCAGCCUGUAUACCUCCGUCGACAGCUUACCGUUUGAAUGCCACAAAGUAAGUUCAACGGCCCCCCACGCCAAUACGUCAGGUCAAGGUGCAGCCUAUAAAGCGGAAAGCAAUGGGCUACAAUUUCUAAUCUAGAACAAACGAAAAACUACAUGAAACAUAGUCAUGAAGGCGGAUUUAGCAGUAAAAGAAAAGCAAUAAGCUUCUUU